CCGGAGCUAAUACCGGAUAACAUUUGGAACCGCAUGGUUCUAAAGUGAAAGAUGGUUUUGCUAUCACUUAUAGAUGGACCCGCGCCGUAUUAGCUAGUUGGUAAGGUAACGGCUUACCAAGGCGACGAUACGUAGCCGACCUGAGAGGGUGAUCGGCCACACUGGAACUGAGACACGGUCCAGACUCCUACGGGAGGCAGCAGUAGGGAAUCUUCCGCAAUGGGCGAAAGCCUGACGGAGCAACGCCGCGUGAGUGAUGAAGGGUUUCGGCUCGUAAAACUCUGUUAUUAGGGAAGAACAAAUGUGUAAGUAACUGUGCACGUCUUGACGGUACCUAAUCAGAAAGCCACGGCUAACUACGUGCCAGCAGCCGCGGUAAUACGUAGGUGGCAAGCGUUAUCCGGAAUUAUUGGGCGUAAAGCGCGCGUAGGCGGUUUCUUAAGUCUGAUGUGAAAGCCCACGGCUCAACCGUGGAGGGUCAUUGGAAACUGGGAAACUUGAGUGCAGAAGAGGAAAGUGGAAUUCCAUGUGUAGCGGUGAAAUGCGCAGAGAUAUGGAGGAACACCAGUGGCGAAGGCGACUUUCUGGUCUGUAACUGACGCUGAUGUGCGAAAGCGUGGGGAUCAAACAGGAUUAGAUACCCUGGUAGUCCACGCCGUAAACGAUGAGUGCUAAGUGUUAGGGGGUUUCCGCCCCUUAGUGCUGCAGCUAACGCAUUAAGCACUCCCCCCU
RNAcentral lists this ribosomal RNA (732 nucleotides) under Staphylococcus sp. RNAcentral describes it as "bacterial SSU rRNA". It matches the Rfam family "Bacterial small subunit ribosomal RNA", at positions 157 to 873 of the family's 1533-position model. Lineage: Bacteria; Bacillati; Bacillota; Bacilli; Caryophanales; Staphylococcaceae. The record is from RNAcentral.